AUACGGAGGGUGCGAGCGUUAAUCGGAAUUACUGGGCGUAAAGAGUACGUAGGCGGUUUGUUAAGUUAGAUGUGAAAGUUUGCAGCUCAACUGUAAAAGUGCAUUUAAAACUGGCAGACUUGAGUCUCGGAGAGGUAAGCGGAAUUCCUAGUGUAGCGGUGAAAUGCGUAGAGAUUAGGAAGAACACCGGUGGCGAAGGCGGCUUACUGGACGAGUACUGACGCUCAGGUACGAAAGCGUGGGGAGC
RNAcentral lists this ribosomal RNA (247 nucleotides) under uncultured bacterium. RNAcentral describes it as "partial 16S ribosomal RNA". It matches the Rfam family "Bacterial small subunit ribosomal RNA", at positions 523 to 769 of the family's 1533-position model. The record is from RNAcentral.